UCAUAGCAGUUUUAUUUGUUAUGUGUUAACUUUAACGUUACUGUCAUGUUUAAACAACUAUACUAUUGCUGCAUCUUUAUGUUCACUGAAUAUAAAUUGACAUCAAUGUGCUGGGUUCUUUGUGGUUAAUUGGGUCUUUACAUUACUCUGGUCCUCUGGACAAUUUCAUGUUAGAAAAGAGCACUUGUCAUAAGCUUUUAACAUUUGCAGUUGUUGCAGUCUCACUUUGUUUUCAUUUUAAUAAACUGAUUUGCCUAAUUUUGAUUUUUUAAUUGGAUUUUGCAACACUCUAGUAACUAAUAAGGUAUUUGAAGUUGGUUUUUCAAUUUCCACAUCAAUAUGUUAAUUGUAGAAUUAUGAACAUGGUGUUUUUCCCCACUCCUUGCGGCUUUUUCAGAUUUUGG
This 404-nucleotide unclassified non-coding RNA is filed under the name Hevea brasiliensis (rubber tree). Lineage: Eukaryota; Viridiplantae; Streptophyta; Magnoliopsida; Malpighiales; Euphorbiaceae. The record is from RNAcentral.